GCUACUGAAGGCUGUGUAUUCGUCACGUAGUUCUCGUGCCAUGGUUUUCAGCUCCAUCAGUAAAAAAAAAAAAAAAACUGGAAAAGGCAGAUGGUUGAGCUCCUGGGAAGUUUGCCUUGAAACUGUAGAAUUUAACAACAAAAUUAUAAUACUCCCUCUCUCUGUCUCUAAUCAGUUCAAAAUGGGUUUUCUAGUGCAAUUUGUCUUAGCCAAACCUUUAUCCAGCCUCCUGUCCCCACUCCACACUC
RNAcentral lists this long non-coding RNA (248 nucleotides) under Homo sapiens (human). RNAcentral's name for it is "non-protein coding lnc-FER-4:1". The record is from RNAcentral. Lineage: Eukaryota; Metazoa; Chordata; Mammalia; Primates; Hominidae.